UAUGUGAUCGUCUCUCGCAUAUCAAUAAGCGGAGGAAAAGAAACUAACAAGGAUUCCCCUAGUAACGGCGAGUGAAGCGGGAAGAGCUCAAAUUUGAAAUCUUAAAGGGUUUCCCUUUACGAAUUGUAGUUUAAAGAAGUGUUUUCUGUUGAGGUUUUGGUAAAAGUUCUUUCGGAAUAGGACAUCAUAGAGGGUGAGAAUCCCGUAUUUGACCUUUACUUUCAACUUUGUGAUACACUUUCAAAGAGUCGGAUUGUUUGGGAAUGCAGUCCAAAAUGGGUGGUAAAUUUCAUCUAAAGCUAAAUAUUGGCGAGAGACCGAUAGCGAACAAGUACCGUGAGGGAAAGAUGAAAAGAACUUUGAAAAGAGGAGUUAAACAGUACGUGAAAUUGUCAAAAGGGAAGCGUUUGACACCAGUGUUGUUUUUCUGAAAAUCAAUUAAAGAACUGUUUAUGCUAAGCUGUUUAGACUUUAUCAGCUAAUCUGUUUAGUUUUGAGCUUUUCUUUAAUGCACUUUUCAGUUAACAAGUCAACAUCAAUUUCUUUUGCUGUAAAAAAGCUUGAGGAAGGUGGCUUGAGAUUCGUCUUAAGUGUUUAUAGCCUCUUGCCUAUGCAGUCGGAGAGAUUGAGGUCUGCAGCGUAGAUCCUUCGGGGCUAAAUGCAUUUGUGCUAAGUUAUAGCAUUUUAUAGACAACUUGUUGACUAUGAUUUGUCUUGUAGCUUACUCGCUUAUGUUAUUUUACCUACGCUUAGGAUGUUGAGUAGCGACAUACGCAC
This 777-nucleotide ribosomal RNA is filed under the name uncultured Neocallimastigales. RNAcentral's name for it is "partial large subunit ribosomal RNA". It matches the Rfam family "Eukaryotic large subunit ribosomal RNA", at positions 24 to 649 of the family's 3401-position model. Lineage: Eukaryota; Fungi; Neocallimastigomycota; Neocallimastigomycetes; Neocallimastigales. The record is from RNAcentral.